RNAcentral lists this ribosomal RNA (724 nucleotides) under Salmonella enterica subsp. enterica serovar Infantis. RNAcentral's name for it is "partial 23S ribosomal RNA". The record is from RNAcentral. Lineage: Bacteria; Pseudomonadati; Pseudomonadota; Gammaproteobacteria; Enterobacterales; Enterobacteriaceae.
UCGUCACACUAUCAUUAACUGAAUCCAUAGGUUAAUGAGGCGAACCGGGGGAACUGAAACAUCUAAGUACCCCGAGGAAAAGAAAUCAACCGAGAUUCCCCCAGUAGCGGCGAGCGAACGGGGAGGAGCCCAGAGCCUGAAUCAGCAUGUGUGUUAGUGGAAGCGUCUGGAAAGGCGCGCGAUACAGGGUGACAGCCCCGUACACAAAAGCGCAUGUGCUGUGAGCUCGAUGAGUAGGGCGGGACACGUGGUAUCCUGUCUGAAUAUGGGGGGACCAUCCUCCAAGGCUAAAUACUCCUGACUGACCGAUAGUGAACCAGUACCGUGAGGGAAAGGCGAAAAGAACCCCGGCGAGGGGAGUGAAAAAGAACCUGAAACCGUGUACGUACAAGCAGUGGGAGCACAGGUUUACCUGUGUGACUGCGUACCUUUUGUAUAAUGGGUCAGCGACUUAUAUUCUGUAGCAAGGUUAACCGAAUAGGGGAGCCGGAGGGAAACCGAGUCUUAAYYGGGCGUUAAGUUGCAGGGUAUAGACCCGAAACCCGGUGAUCUAGCCAUGGGCAGGUUGAAGGUUGGGUAACACUAACUGGAGGACCGAACCGACUAAUGUUGAAAAAUUAGCGGAUGACCUGUGGCUGGGGGUGAAAGGCCAAUCAAACCGGGAGAUAGCUGGUUCUCCCCGAAAGCUAUUUAGGUAGCGCCUCGUGAAUUCAUCUCCGGGGGU